Molecule: ribosomal RNA, 656 nt
Filed under: bacterium HN3-1-34
Lineage: Bacteria
Description: bacterial SSU rRNA
Rfam family: Bacterial small subunit ribosomal RNA
Source: RNAcentral
CCUACGGGAGGCAGCAGUAGGGAAUCUUCCACAAUGGACGAAAGUCUGAUGGAGCAACGCCGCGUGAGUGAUGAAGGUUUUCGGAUCCGUGAAAACUCUCGUUCGUAAGUCGGAAGAACAAGUACGUUAGGAAAUGAACGUACCUUGACGGUACCUUAUUAGAAAGCCACGGCUAACUACGUGCCAGCAGCCGCGGUAAUACGUAGGUGGCAAGCGUUGUCCGGAUUUAUUGGGCGUAAAGCGCGCGCAGGUGGUUUCUUAAGUCUGAUGUGAAAGCCCACGGCUCAACCGUGGAGGGUCAUUGGAAACUGGGAGACUUGAGUGCAGAGAGGAUAGUGGAAUUCCAAGUGUAGCGUGAAAUGCGUAGAGAUUGGAGGAACACCAGUGGCGAAGGCGACUGUCUGGUCUGUAACUGACACUGAGGCGCGAAAGCGUGGGGGAGCAAACAGUAUUAGAUACCCUGGUAGUCCACGCCGUAAACGAUGAGUGCUAAGUGUUAGGGGGUUUCCGCCCCUAUAGUGCUGCAGCUAACGUCAUUAAGCACUCCGCCUGGGGCAGUACGACCGCUUAUUAGGUUGAAACUCAAGGAAGUUGACGGGGGCCCGCACAAGCGGUGGAGCAUGUGGUUUAAUUCGAAGCAACGCGAAGAACCUUAC